Non-coding RNA from Synergistales bacterium 53_16, 151 nucleotides. The record is from Rfam. Lineage: Bacteria; Thermotogati; Synergistota; Synergistia; Synergistales.
AUAGUCACGAUCAGCAGGCCAGAGACAGCGGGCGCGCCUCGCGCGCUUAAUCGAUACCCGCCGAGGUCUGGGAUAAAGAGUCCGCCCACGGGCGGUAUGUAUACUCUGUCUCCCGGGCCCCGGAGGGUUCGGGAGAUUUUUUGUGAGGAGG